RNAcentral lists this ribosomal RNA (705 nucleotides) under Roseovarius sp. RNAcentral describes it as "bacterial SSU rRNA". It matches the Rfam family "Bacterial small subunit ribosomal RNA", at positions 42 to 791 of the family's 1533-position model. The record is from RNAcentral. Lineage: Bacteria; Pseudomonadati; Pseudomonadota; Alphaproteobacteria; Rhodobacterales; Roseobacteraceae.
GGAUGCGCAGCUACACAUGCAGUCGAGCGAGAUCUUCGGAUCUAGCGGCGGACGGGUGAGUAACGCGUGGGAACGUACCCUCUUCUGCGGGAUAGCCACUGGAAACGGUGAGUAAUACCGCAUACGCCCUUCGGGGGAAAGAUUUAUCGGAGGAGGAUCGGCCCGCGUUGGAUUAGGUAGUUGGUGGGGUAAUGGCCUACCAAGCCUACGAUCCAUAGCUGGUUUUAGAGGAUGAUCAGCCACACUGGGACUGAGACACGGCCCAGACUCCUACGGGAGGCAGCAGUGGGGAAUCUUAGACAAUGGGCGCAAGCCUGAUCUAGCCAUGCCGCGUGAGUGACGAAGGCCUUAGGGUCGUAAAGCUCUUUCGCCUGUGAUGAUAAUGACAGUAGCAGGUAAAGAAACCCCGGCUAACUCCGUGCCAGCAGCCGCGGUAAUACGGAGGGGGUUAGCGUUGUUCGGAAUUACUGGGCGUAAAGCGCACGUAGGCGGAUUGGAAAGUAUGGGGUGAAAUCCCAGGGCUCAACCCUGGAACGGCCUCAUAAACUUCCAGUCUGGAGUUCGAGAGAGGUGAGUGGAAUUCCGAGUGUAGAGGUGAAAUUCGUAGAUAUUCGGAGGAACACCAGUGGCGAAGGCGGCUCACUGGCUCGAUACUGACGCUGAGGUGCGAAAGUGUGGGGAGCAAACAGGAUUAGAUACCCUGGU